GCCGAAGUGGUGGAAUUGGUAGACGCGCUGGAUUCAAAAUCCAGUGAGGGUGACCUCGUGCGGGUUCGAUUCCCGCCUUCGGUA
RNAcentral lists this transfer RNA (84 nucleotides) under Saprospiraceae bacterium. RNAcentral's name for it is "tRNA-Leu". It matches the Rfam family "tRNA". From Rfam's summary of the family: Transfer RNA (tRNA) molecules are approximately 80 nucleotides in length. Their secondary structure includes four short double-helical elements and three loops (D, anti-codon, and T loops). The record is from RNAcentral. Lineage: Bacteria; Pseudomonadati; Bacteroidota; Saprospiria; Saprospirales; Saprospiraceae.